GAUGAACGCUGGCGGCGUGCUUAACACAUGCAAGUCGAACGGUGAAGGCGGAGCUUGCUCUGCUGGAUCAGUGGCGAACGGGUGAGUAACACGUGAGCAAUCUGCCCCUGACUCUGGGAUAAGCGCUGGAAACGGCGUCUAAUACUGGAUACGAGCUGCGAAGGCAUCUUCAGCAGCUGGAAAGAAUUUCGGUCAGGGAUGAGCUCGCGGCCUAUCAGCUUGUUGGUGAGGUAAUGCUCACCAAGGCGUCGACGGGUAGCCGGCCUGAGAGGGUGACCGGCCACACUGGGACUGAGACACGGCCCAGACUCCUACGAGAGGCAGCAGUGGGGAAUAUUGCACAAUGGGCGAAAGCCUGAUGCAGCAACGCCGCGUGAGGGACGACGGCCUUCGGGUUGUAAACCUCUUUUAGCAGGGAAGAAGCGAAAGUGACGGUACCUGCAGAAAAAGCGCCGGCUAACUACGUG
Molecule: ribosomal RNA, 467 nt
Filed under: uncultured bacterium
Lineage: Bacteria
Description: partial 16S ribosomal RNA
Rfam family: Bacterial small subunit ribosomal RNA
Source: RNAcentral